RNAcentral lists this non-coding RNA (911 nucleotides) under Human immunodeficiency virus 1. The record is from RNAcentral. Lineage: Riboviria; Pararnavirae; Artverviricota; Revtraviricetes; Ortervirales; Retroviridae.
AACCAAUUCCACAAACUUGCCCAUUUAUUUAAUGCCAAUAAGUCUUGUUCAUUCUUUUCUUGUUGGUUUUGCGAUUCUUCAAUUAAGGAGUAUAUUAAUUCUGUGUAAUUGUCAAUUUCUCUUUCCCACUCCAUCCAGGUCAUGUUAUCCCAAAUCUGCUCGUAAGAUCUAUUACUCCAACUAUUAUUCCAAGGCACAGCAGUGGUGCAGAUGAGUUUUCCAGAGCAACCCCAAAUCCCCAUGAGCUGUUGGUCCCUUAGGUAUCUUUCCAGAGCCAGGACUCUUGCCUGGAGCUGCUUGAUGCCCCAGACUGUGAGUUGCAACAGGUGUUGUUGCGCCUCAAUAGCCCUCAGCAGAUUGUUCUGCUGUUGCACUAUACCAGACAAUAAUAGUCUGGCCUGUACCGUCAGCGUCAGUGACGCUGCGCCCAUAGUGCUUCCUGCUGCUCCCAAGAACCCAAGGAAUAAAGCUCCUAGUCCCGCUGCUCUUUUUUCUCUCUGCACCACUCUUCUUUUUGCCCUGGUGGGUGCUACUCCUAAUGGUUCAAUUUUUACUACUUUAUAUUUAUAUAAUUCAUUUCUCCAAUUAUCCUUCAUAUCUCCUCCUCCAGGUCUGAAGAUCUCUGUAUUAUUAUUGUCUGUACUAUUGUUUGUACCCCCAUCUCUUGUUAGUAGCAGCCCUGUAAUAUUUGAUGAACAUUUAAUUGAUCCUUUGAUGGGAGGGGCAUACAUUGCUUUUCCUACUUCCUGCCACAUAUUUACAAUUUGUUUUAUUCUACAUGGGAGUGUGAUCGUGUCAUUUGACUCUUCAGUAUAAUUAGACCCAAUAUUAUUAUAAGACCAAGUACUAUUAAACAGUGAUGUUGUAUUACAGUAGAAAAAUUCCCCUCCACAAUUAAAACUGUGCAUUAC